Molecule: ribosomal RNA, 253 nt
Filed under: uncultured bacterium
Lineage: Bacteria
Description: partial 16S ribosomal RNA
Rfam family: Bacterial small subunit ribosomal RNA
Source: RNAcentral
UACGUAGGUGGCAAGCGUUGUCCGGAAUUACUGGGCGUAAAGUGUGCGCAGGCGGCAGAGCAAGUCGAGUGUGAAAGCCCCGGGCUUAACUUGGGAAUUGCGCUCGAAACUACUUUGCUGGAGUGUGGCAGAGGAAGGUGGAAUUCCACGUGUAGCGGUGAAAUGCGUAGAGAUGUGGAGGAACACCAAUGGCGAAGGCAGCCUUCUGGGCCAACACUGACGCUCAUGCACGAAAGCGUGGGGAGCAAACAGG